RNAcentral lists this ribosomal RNA (875 nucleotides) under Microhyla pulchella. Its description in RNAcentral is "partial large subunit ribosomal RNA". It matches the Rfam family "Bacterial large subunit ribosomal RNA", at positions 1105 to 2574 of the family's 2925-position model. Lineage: Eukaryota; Metazoa; Chordata; Amphibia; Anura; Microhylidae. The record is from RNAcentral.
CCUAAAAGCAGCCACCUUUGAAAAAGCGUUAAAGCUUUAUUUCAAUCUCUCAUCAAUUCCUCAAUUUUACCGAAACCCCCCACCCCCAUACUGAAUGACUUCAUACUUUAUGAAGGACCAUAUGCUAAAACUAGUAACAAGAAGAAGAACUUCUCCAAAAUGCAAGCGUAAAUCAUAAUGAACAACUCACUGACAAUUAACGUCCAUAAGCCCAAAGUAGUAACUCACCAAGAAAACUCUACUUAAAACAACGUUAACCUUACACCAGCGCAUUCACAGAAAGAUUAAAAGAAUCGGAAGGAACUCGGCAAAUUACUAACCCCGCCUGUUUACCAAAAACAUCGCCUCCUGAUAAACUAUAGGAGGUCCAGCCUGCCCAGUGACAAAGUUAAACGGCCGCGGUACCCUAACCGUGCAAAGGUAGCGCAAUCACUUGUUCUUUAAAUGAGGACUAGUAUGAAUGGCAUCACGAGGGUUAUACUGUCUCCCCACUCUAAUCAGUGAAACUGACCUCCCCGUGAAGAAGCGGGGAUAUUAAUAUAAGACGAGAAGACCCCAUGGAGCUUUAAACUCAGUAUCACCUGCCACACAUUACAACCUCUCACCCACGCAGUCCUGAUAACUAGUUUUCGGUUGGGGUGACCGCGGAGUAAAACAAAACCUCCUCGAUGAAAGGAAUUAACUUCCUAAUCCAAGAGCCACAACUCUAAGAAUCAAAUUAUUGACAAAAAUUGAUCCAAAUACUAUUGAUCAACGAACCAAGUUACCCUGGGGAUAACAGCGCAAUCCAUUUCAAGAGCUCAUAUCGACAAAUGGGUUUACGACCUCGAUGUUGGAUCAGGGUAUCCCAGUGGCGCAGCCGCUACUAAAGGUUC